GCAAGGAGUAUCUUCUAAGAAGAAACACUUCAACAACAUCGAUUCCAUCUCAACUAGACUUCACAGACUCACAUCAGGAACAUGACCACAACUAUCCAGAAGAGGG
Molecule: long non-coding RNA, 106 nt
Organism: Saccostrea cuccullata (small rock oyster)
Lineage: Eukaryota; Metazoa; Mollusca; Bivalvia; Ostreida; Ostreidae
Exons: 3
Source: RefSeq, a predicted model, not a curated record